GACACAGAAUCCUAAACUUCAACACAUCAGCAGCUUUAAUCCCAAAACCGGAAGAUGCAAAGAAACAAUGGCAGAGAUUAGAAGAUAACCCGGCUAGCAAAUUACAGUCAUUUUCUCCCGAUACCUUCGUCUUCCUUCUAGUACAUCAAAAUUUCCAUGACUGGAUAUUAGAAGCACAAAGGUGCUUGGAAGAAAGCUAUUGCACUAAACAAUGGAGCAUCAAACAGUUCAAUCAGGACUUGUGGAACAGAUUCUGAGUGAGGAAGAACAUUAGCACAACACCCACCAAAACCUCCAUGGAUGCUCACAACACUGCACUCAACAUAAGCAGCUUCAUGGCUGACAUUUCAGUAUAUACGCGAACUAUAAAUUUUUUUCUGAUAUUGGAGCUUUAGCUAUUUGUUUCUUCAAUUGAUUUAUGUCUUUCAGAAAGAAAAGGAAAAGAAAAUUCUUAUGGAAAGAAAAUUUCACAUCGGUGAGCUCCUGCCUGCAGAUAGUGUUUUCUUCCUUUUUGUUUCUCAAUUUGCGUUGACUUAUAGCAGUUCUAUUCUCACCAAGUUUUAAAGGUUUUUUAUUCUGCUUUAUUCAAUCGUUUCAAUUUGCGUUGAAAGAAAAAUCUUG
Long non-coding RNA from Musa acuminata AAA Group (dessert banana), 621 nucleotides. RefSeq lists it as uncharacterized. NCBI's taxonomy places the organism in Eukaryota, Viridiplantae, Streptophyta, Magnoliopsida, Zingiberales, Musaceae. The transcript is spliced from 3 exons. The record is from RefSeq and is a predicted model, not a curated record.